This 373-nucleotide ribosomal RNA is filed under the name uncultured organism. RNAcentral describes it as "bacterial SSU rRNA". It matches the Rfam family "Bacterial small subunit ribosomal RNA", at positions 526 to 896 of the family's 1533-position model. The record is from RNAcentral.
CAGAGACUGCAAGCGUUAUUCGGAUUCACUGGGCGUAAAGGGUGCGCAGGCGGUUGGGUGUGUCAGAUGUGAAAUCCCGAGGCUUAACCUCGGAACUGCGUCUGAAACUACUCGACUAGAGUACUGGAGAGGGUAACGGAAUUCACGGUGUAGCAGUGAAAUGCGUAGAUAUCGUGAGGAACACCAGAGGCGAAGGCGGUUACCUGGACAGUUUACUGACGCUCAGGCACGAAAGCAUGGGGAGCAAAAGGGAUUAGAUACCCCUGUAGUCCAUGCCCUAAACGGUGCACACUAGGUCUUAGCGGAUUCGACCCCACUAGGGCCCAAGCUAACGCGUUAAGUGUGCCGCCUGAGGACUACGGUCGCAAGACUA